AUUGAACGCUGGCGGCAUGCCUUACACAUGCAAGCCGAACGGCAGCACGGGUGCUUGCACCUGGUGGCGAGUGGCGAACGGGUGAGUAAUACAUCGGAACGUACCUUAUCGUGGGGGAUAACGCAGCGAAAGCUGUGCUAAUACCGCAUACGCCCUGAGGGGGAAAGCGGGGGAUCGAAAGACCUCGCGCGAUUAGAGCGGCCGAUGCCUGAUUAGCUUGUUGGUGGGGUAAAAGCCCACCAAGGCGACGAUCAGUAGCUGGUCUGAGAGGACGAUCAGCCACACUGGGACUGAGACACGGCCCAGACUCCUACGGGAGGCAGCAGUGGGGAAUUUUGGACAAUGGGGGCAACCCUGAUCCAGCAAUGCCGCGUGAGUGAAGAAGGCCUUCGGGUUGUAAAGCUCUUUUGUCAGGGAAGAAACAGCAGCUCUAACACAGUCUGCGAAUGACGGUACCUGAAGAAUAAGCACCGGCUAACUACGUG
Molecule: ribosomal RNA, 485 nt
Filed under: uncultured bacterium
Lineage: Bacteria
Description: bacterial SSU rRNA
Rfam family: Bacterial small subunit ribosomal RNA
Source: RNAcentral